Arvicola amphibius (Eurasian water vole) is the source of this 1799-nucleotide long non-coding RNA. RefSeq lists it as uncharacterized. The transcript has 3 exons. The record is from RefSeq and is a predicted model, not a curated record. Lineage: Eukaryota; Metazoa; Chordata; Mammalia; Rodentia; Cricetidae.
CAGGCCACAUGCUUUACAUCUGUGAAGUCUAUUGUUUGAUGGCCCUAGAGACUGCCCCAGCUUUUCUGUUUCUGCUGUCUGGUUUUGUUUUUGCACGUUAACACAAGGACUCCCGCGGUUUAAACACAGAGCCACUUGCUCUCGGCACCCUGAGCAAACCGGAACAGAGGUGGCAAAUUACUCCUGUAUCUCGCUUCUGUCCGUCUCAGAGCUAAAGAAGUGGGGUCACAACACACGUGCGACCUAGGAAAGAGGCUCUCAGGUUUCUCCUGGAUGAAGAUUUGCUGCUCUUUGGGAAAGAGCAACAUUUUUCCAAGCUCGCUUCUGACUAUAUCGGCAUUUAGGCAUGUAAUACAGUCUGCAACGGUCUAGGAAACGUCUGGAGACUUUCUUGUUGGCAGAUUCUUCUUCUGAUAUUUUGUGACUGAUCCUCAUCCUGAGUUAUGGUCCUGGAAUAAAGCCCUGCUUUCAUAGAGGUUCAAUGGUAUCUUGAAUACGUAAACCCUCUUAGAUCUAAGACCAGCCCAUCUACAACGAACUUUGAGUUCAUGGAGUCUUUAUUGAAGUUAUGAACUCUGAAAACUAAGAGGUUAAUAAUGCAAAGAUCACAUGCUUUACCAACCCAUUUUGCCAUUUCCUGGAGAUUAUGACCUGCACUGAGCAGACAGUGAUGAAUAAGACCAUGAAGAAACUGGAACCCUCCUAAACUGGCUGAUGAGAUUCUGGUUCGACCACCUUGAGAAACAGUCUGGCAGUCCCUUAAAUGAUUAAACACAGACAUUAUGCUCCUCCCGCAGGCUGUCUAUGAGGAAAUAGCUCAAGUCUGAGAGUAAACUCCUAUUGUUAGAGGUAUAUGAAAAGAAAAAUCAUAAAACAAUUUCUUUUAAAUCACCAAAGACUUAAACACCGAAGUUCCUUCUUCACUUACAGACUAUGAGUAUUUGAAAGUUAACGAUCAUUUUAUUUCACUUAAAAUAUUUCAAACAUGCUGCAGGCACAGGGGCAGGCCAGGAGGCUUGCUAAACAGUGCCUAGUGUUGGCUGUGGAGCCUGACUCCGCGUUUGAAUGCUGGUAUGUCCUUUACUUAGUCCCUUAACCUUUCUGUACCUCAUUUCCUCCUUCAUGAAGUGGAACAGCAACAGCACCGGCAGAGUGCCCAAAUCCCCCAAUAAAUAUAAAGUACUGCCUUAGUUAAAGCUUCUAUUGCUGUGCCGAGACAGCAUGACCAUAGCAACUCUUAUGAAGGAAAACAUUUCAUUGGGUCUGGCUUACAGUUUCAGAGGUUUAGUCUAUUAUCAUGGCGGAUGGCAAGCAGGCAGACAUGGUGCUGGAGAAGGAGCUGAGAGUUCUACAUCUUGAUCUGCAGGCAGCAGAAGUAAGCCUGUGUCACAACUGAGAACUGCUUGAACAAAGGAGUCCUGAAAGCCCACCCCCACAGUGACACACUUCCUCCAACAAGGCCACACCUCCUAAUAUGCCACUCCCUUUGGGGGCCAUUUUCUUUCAAACUACCACAAGCCCUUUCCCAAUAUUGCCCAGCACCCUGUCUAGUAACUUCUCUGCCUGGAUUUGCUAACUCUGCAUUCGGCCAAAAUCAGGAAAUCCUCACAUCUCACUAACGUGAGGUUACACCAGCUGUAAUUUGUUUCAGUAAAAGAACCCCAAAUGUUGGAGCCUUGGCAAGUUUCUUCAGCACUUUAUGGUGUAAUUGCCUCUUGGAGUAGAAUGACUGCUAUCAAUGCCACCCCAUUUCCUUCAGCCUAUAAAGUUUAAUCUUAAUAAAUAUGGCCUAAGACAGA